This 465-nucleotide ribosomal RNA is filed under the name Escherichia coli. Its description in RNAcentral is "bacterial SSU rRNA". It matches the Rfam family "Bacterial small subunit ribosomal RNA", at positions 338 to 795 of the family's 1533-position model. The record is from RNAcentral. Lineage: Bacteria; Pseudomonadati; Pseudomonadota; Gammaproteobacteria; Enterobacterales; Enterobacteriaceae.
CCUACGGGGGGCUGCAGUGGGGAAUUUUGGACAAUGGGCGCAAGCCUGAUCCAGCAAUGCCGCGUGAGUGAAGAAGGCCUUCGGGUUGUAAAGCUCUUUUGUCAGGGAAGAAACGGUGAGAGCUAAUAUCUCUUGCUAAUGACGGUACCUGAAGAAUAAGCACCGGCUAACUACGUGCCAGCAGCCGCGGUAAUACGUAGGGUGCAAGCGUUAAUCGGAAUUACUGGGCGUAAAGCGUGCGCAGGCGGUUUUGUAAGUCUGAUGUGAAAUCCCCGGGCUCAACCUGGGAAUUGCGUUGGAGACUGCAAGGCUAGAAUCUGGCAGAGGGGGGUAGAAUUCCACGUGUAGCAGUGAAAUGCGUAGAUAUGUGGAGGAACACCGAUGGCGAAGGCAGCCCCCUGGGUCAAGAUUGACGCUCAUGCACGAAAGCGUGGGGAGCAAACAGGAUUAGAUACCCGAGUAGUC